RNAcentral lists this transfer RNA (87 nucleotides) under Planctomycetota bacterium. RNAcentral's name for it is "Planctomycetes bacterium tRNA-Cys". It matches the Rfam family "tRNA". From Rfam's summary of the family: Transfer RNA (tRNA) molecules are approximately 80 nucleotides in length. Their secondary structure includes four short double-helical elements and three loops (D, anti-codon, and T loops). RNAcentral also lists the same sequence under 2 other names. The record is from RNAcentral. Lineage: Bacteria; Pseudomonadati; Planctomycetota.
GGCCGUGUGCCCGAGUGGUCUAAGGGAACGGAUUGCAAAUCCGUUGUGGCGUAAGCCCAAUCGUGGGUUCGAAUCCCACUGCGGCCU